This 405-nucleotide ribosomal RNA is filed under the name bacterium. Its description in RNAcentral is "partial 16S ribosomal RNA". It matches the Rfam family "Bacterial small subunit ribosomal RNA", at positions 355 to 776 of the family's 1533-position model. The record is from RNAcentral.
UAAGGAAUAUUGCGCAAUGGGGGAAACCCUGACGCAGCAACGCCGCGUGGAGGAUGACACUUUUCGGAGCGUAAACUCCUUUUAUCAGGAAAGAAUAAUGACGGUACCUGAUGAAUAAGCACCGGCUAACUCCGUGCCAGCAGCCGCGGUAAUACGGGGGGUGCAAGCGUUACUCGGAAUCACUGGGCGUAAAGGACGCGUAGGCGGAUUAUCAAGUCUUUUGUGAAAUCUAGUAGCUUAACCACUAAACUGCUUAGGAAACUGAUAGUCUAGAGUAGGGGAGAGGUAGAUGGAAUUCUUGGUGUAGGGGUAAAAUCCGUAGAGAUCAAGAAGAAUACCCAUUGCGAAAGCGAUCUGCUGGAACCUAACUGACGCUGAGGCGUGAAAGCGUGGGUAGCAAACAGG